This 370-nucleotide ribosomal RNA is filed under the name uncultured bacterium. RNAcentral's name for it is "bacterial SSU rRNA". It matches the Rfam family "Bacterial small subunit ribosomal RNA", at positions 525 to 896 of the family's 1533-position model. The record is from RNAcentral.
ACGGAGGGGGCAAGCGUUAUCCGGAAUUAUUGGGCGUAAAGGGUACGUAGGUGGUUUACCAAGCGCAGGGUUUAAGGCAAUGGCUCAACCAUUGUUCGCCCUGCGAACUGGCAAACUUGAGUGCAGGAGAGGAAAGCGGAAUUCCUAGUGUAGCGGUGAAAUGCGUAGAUAUUAGGAGGAACACCAGUGGCGAAGGCGGCUUUCUGGACUGUAACUGACACUGAGGUACGAAAGCGUGGGGAGCAAACAGGAUUAGAUACCCUGGUAGUCCACGCCGUAAACGAUGAGCACUAGGUGUCGGGGUCGCAAGACUUCGGUGCCGCAGUUAACGCAUUAAGUGCUCCGCCUGGGGAGUACGCACGCAAGUGUG